This 264-nucleotide unclassified non-coding RNA is filed under the name plant metagenome. RNAcentral describes it as "partial contains small subunit ribosomal RNA, internal transcribed spacer 1, and 5.8S ribosomal RNA". The record is from RNAcentral.
UCUCCGUUGGUGAACCAGCGGAGGGUUCAUUACCAAGUUUACAACUCCCAAACCCAAUGUGAACGUUACCAAACUGUUGCCUCGGCGGGAUCUCUGCCCCGGGUGCGUCGCAGCCCCGGACCAAGGCGCCCGCCGGAGGACCAACCAAAACUCUUAUUGUAUACCCCCUCGCGGGUUUUUUUUUAUAAUCUGAGCCUUCUCGGCGCCUCUCGUAGGCGUUUCGAAAAUGAAUCAAAACUUUCAACAACGGAUCUCUUGGUUCUG